This 130-nucleotide small RNA is filed under the name Marmota monax (woodchuck). The record is from RNAcentral. Lineage: Eukaryota; Metazoa; Chordata; Mammalia; Rodentia; Sciuridae.
GCCGGACGCGGUGUGGUGUGCACAUCUGUAAUCCGAGCGGCCGGGAGGCUGAGGCAGGAGGAUCACAGGUUUAAGGCCUGCCUCAGCAAUUUAGCAAGGAUGUAAGCAAUGUAGUGACACCCUGUCUCAA